AGAGUUUGAUCCUGGCUCAGGAUGAACGCUGGCGGUCUGCCUAACACAUGCAAGUCGAACGGUGGCGCAAGCCAUAGUGGCGGACGGGUGAGUAACGCGUGAGAAUCUAGCUCUAGGAUGGGGACAACAGUUGGAAACGACUGCUAAUACCCGAUGAGCCGAAAGGUAAAAGAUUUAUCGCCUAGAGAUGAGCUCGCGUCAGAUUAGCUAGUUGGUAGUGUAAAGGACUACCAAGGCGACGAUCUGUAGCUGGUCUGAGAGGAUGAGCAGCCACACUGGGACUGAGACACGGCCCAGACUCCUACGGGAGGCAGCAGUGGGGAAUUUUCCGCAAUGGGCGAAAGCCUGACGGAGCAAGACCGCGUGAGGGAGGAAGGCUCUUGGGUUGUAAACCUCUUUUCUCAGGGAAGAAGAACUGACGGUACCUGAGGAAUAAGCAUCGGCUAACUCCGUGCCAGCAGCCGCGGUAAUACGGAGGAUGCAAGCGUUAUCCGGAAUCAUUGGGCGUAAAGCGUCCGCAGGUGGAGUGGUAAGUCUGUUGUCAAAGAACGGGGCUUAACCCCGUAAAGGCGAUGGAAACUGCCACACUAGAGGCUGGUAGGGGUAGAGGGAAUUCCCAGUGUAGCGGUGAAAUGCGUAGAGAUUGGGAAGAACACCAGUGGCGAAAGCGCUCUACUGGACCAGAACUGACACUCAGGGACGAAAGCUAGGGGAGCGAAAGGGAUUAGAUACCCCUGUAGUCCUAGCCGUAAACGAUGGAUACUAGGCGUAGCUCGUAUCGACCCGAGCUGUGCCGAAGCUAACGCGUUAAGUAUCCCGCCUGGGGAGUACGCACGCAAGUGUGAAACUCAAAGGAAUUGACGGGGGCCCGCACAAGCGGUGGAGUAUGUGGUUUAAUUCGAUGCAACGCGAAGAACCUUACCAGGGCUUGACAUCUGGCGAAUCUCGAUGAAAGUUGGGAGUGCCUUAGGGAGCGCCAAGACAGGUGGUGCAUGGCUGUCGUCAGCUCGUGUCGUGAGAUGUUGGGUUAAGUCCCGCAACGAGCGCAACCCUCGUCCUUAGUUGCCAGCAUUAAGUUGGGAACUCUAGGGAGACUGCCGGUGACAAACCGGAGGAAGGUGGGGAUGACGUCAAGUCAGCAUGCCCCUUACGCCCUGGGCUACACACGUACUACAAUGGUCGGGACAACGGGCAGCAAGCAGGCAACUGUAAGCGAAUCUCAUCAAACCCGGCCUCAGUUCAGAUUGCAGGCUGCAACUCGCCUGCAUGAAGGAGGAAUCGCUAGUAAUCGCAGGUCAGAAUACUGCGGUGAAUCCGUUCCCGGGCCUUGUACACACCGCCCGUCACACCAUGGGAGCUGGCCACGCCCGAAGUCGUUACUCCAACCUGCAAAGGAGGAGGAUGCCGAAGGCAGGGCCAGUGACUGGGGUGAAGUCGUAACAAGGUA
This 1447-nucleotide ribosomal RNA is filed under the name metagenome. RNAcentral describes it as "bacterial SSU rRNA". It matches the Rfam family "Bacterial small subunit ribosomal RNA". The record is from RNAcentral.